This 72-nucleotide transfer RNA is filed under the name [Candidatus Thermochlorobacteriaceae] bacterium GBChlB. RNAcentral's name for it is "Candidatus Thermochlorobacteriaceae bacterium GBChlB tRNA-Gln". It matches the Rfam family "tRNA". Rfam says of the family: Transfer RNA (tRNA) molecules are approximately 80 nucleotides in length. Their secondary structure includes four short double-helical elements and three loops (D, anti-codon, and T loops). Further hydrogen bonds mediate the characteristic L-shaped molecular structure. tRNAs have two regions of fundamental functional importance: the anti-codon, which is responsible for specific mRNA codon recognition, and the 3' end, to which the tRNAs corresponding amino acid is attached (by aminoacyl-tRNA synthetases). tRNAs cope with the degeneracy of the genetic code in two manners: having more than one tRNA (with a specific anti-codon) for a particular amino acid; and 'wobble' base-pairing, i.e. permitting non-standard base-pairing at the 3rd anti-codon position. The record is from RNAcentral. Lineage: Bacteria; Pseudomonadati; Chlorobiota; Chlorobiia; Chlorobiales; Chloroherpetonaceae.
UGAGGAGUCGCCAAGUGGUAAGGCACCUGACUCUGAAUCAGGCAUUCGCAGGUUCGAUCCCUGCCUCCUCAG